CUGGCACAGCCUGACAUAAUAAAGGCUCUUUGUCCUGGAAUCCAGGGUCAAGUGCUAGGCUGGCUCCGCUGCUGGUAACCAUCCACUCAUUCACCAAAUAUGUACAGGGGACCUACAAGCUGUCAGGCACUGUUCUUGAUUCAGAAAGACAAAUGCCAAUAAAACCUUGGAAUGUGCCUUCUGCUGGGGAGUCGCACAGAGCAGCCAGUGAGAUAGUACAGAAGUGCUUCACAGAAUGUGGCUUGAAGGAGGAACAGUUCUGGCCUAGGUGUUCAAGGAAGAGCUCAAAAUCUAGAAGGCUGCCCUCAGUCCUCUCGCUGGACCCUUCCUCUGAGCUCUCCCUCUCAUCGCACUGGAUGGGACACAGCCAGAAGGCCAGAACAGGGCUUCAAAACCACAGAGCCCAAGUGCAAAGGCAACCAUCUGUCAGCCAAAACAAGUCCUCACCAGAACCCAACUCUGCCAGCAUCCUGAUCUUGGCCUUCCAACCUCCAGAGCUGCAAGAAAAUAUGAAAAACUAUAAUAGUACAUAAAAUCC
Fukomys damarensis (Damara mole-rat) is the source of this 538-nucleotide long non-coding RNA. RefSeq lists it as uncharacterized. Lineage: Eukaryota; Metazoa; Chordata; Mammalia; Rodentia; Bathyergidae. The transcript is spliced from 4 exons. The record is from RefSeq and is a predicted model, not a curated record.